UGGCGGCACGCCUAACACAUGCAAGGCGAGCGCAGUAGCAAUACUGAGUGGCAAACGGGUGAGUAUAAUGUGGGAAUCUGCCUUUUGGUUCGGAAUAACACGAGGAAACUUGUGCUAAUACCGGAUAAGCCCUUACGGGGAAAGUUUUAAUGCCAAAAGAUGAGCCCGCACUUGAUUAGCUAGUUGGUAAGGUAAUGGCUUACCAAGGCAACGAUCAAUAGCUGUUCUUAGAGGAAGACCAGCCACAUUGGGACUGAGACACGGCCCAAACUCC
RNAcentral lists this ribosomal RNA (274 nucleotides) under unidentified marine bacterioplankton. RNAcentral describes it as "partial 16S ribosomal RNA". It matches the Rfam family "Bacterial small subunit ribosomal RNA", at positions 37 to 339 of the family's 1533-position model. The record is from RNAcentral. RNAcentral also lists the same sequence under 1 other name.